This 430-nucleotide ribosomal RNA is filed under the name Proteus mirabilis. Its description in RNAcentral is "bacterial SSU rRNA". It matches the Rfam family "Bacterial small subunit ribosomal RNA", at positions 72 to 497 of the family's 1533-position model. The record is from RNAcentral. Lineage: Bacteria; Pseudomonadati; Pseudomonadota; Gammaproteobacteria; Enterobacterales; Morganellaceae.
GAGAAAGCUUGCUUUCUUGCUGACGAGCGGCGGACGGGUGAGUAAUGUAUGGGGAUCCGCCCGAUAGAGGGGGAUAACUACUGGAAACGGUGGCUAAUACCGCAUAAUGUCUACGGACCAAAGCAGGGGCUCUUCGGACCUUGCACUAUCGGAUGAACCCAUAUGGGAUUAGCUAGUAGGUGGGGUAAAGGCUCACCUAGGCGACGAUCUCUAGCUGGUCUGAGAGGAUGAUCAGCCACACUGGGACUGAGACACGGCCCAGACUCCUACGGGAGGCAGCAGUGGGGAAUAUUGCACAAUGGGCGCAAGCCUGAUGCAGCCAUGCCGCGUGUAUGAAGAAGGCCUUAGGGUUGUAAAGUACUUUCAGCGGGGAGGAAGGUGAUAAGGUUAAUACCCUUAUCAAUUGACGUACCCGCAGAAGAGCUCCGCA